RNAcentral lists this transfer RNA (73 nucleotides) under Octopus vulgaris (common octopus). It matches the Rfam family "tRNA". From Rfam's summary of the family: Transfer RNA (tRNA) molecules are approximately 80 nucleotides in length. Lineage: Eukaryota; Metazoa; Mollusca; Cephalopoda; Octopoda; Octopodidae. RNAcentral also lists the same sequence under 1 other name. The record is from Rfam by way of RNAcentral.
GGCCGCGUGGCCUAAUGGAUAAGGCGUCUGACUUCGAAUCAGAAGUUUGCGAGUUCGAAUCACGUCGUGGUCU